This 349-nucleotide unclassified non-coding RNA is filed under the name soil metagenome. RNAcentral's name for it is "partial contains 5.8S ribosomal RNA, internal transcribed spacer 2, and large subunit ribosomal RNA". The stretch from base 1 to 120 matches the Rfam family "5.8S ribosomal RNA", at positions 35 to 154 of the family's 154-position model. The record is from RNAcentral.
GAUGAAGAACGCAGCGAAAUGCGAUAAGUAAUGUGAAUUACAGAAUUCAGUGAAUCAUCGAAUCUUUGAACGCACAUUGCGCCCGGCAGUAAUCUGCCGGGCAUGCCUGUCCGAGCGUCAUUUCACCCCUCGAGCCGCUUUUAGUGGAUCGGUGUUGGGGCACUACGGUAAAACGUAGGCCCUGAAAUGAAGUGGCGGUCCCGCCGCGGUGCCCCCAUGCGUAGUAACGUUUAGUCUCGCAUCGGGUCCCGGCGGAGGCCUGCCGUCAAGCCUAUUUAUUCUCAGAAUAGUUUGACCUCGGAUCAGGUAGGGUUACCCGCUGAACUUAAGCAUAUCAAUAAGCGGAGGA